ACCCGAAACCAUCCCGAACUCGGAAGUUAAGCCCUUUAGCGCCGAUGGUACUGCACGGGCAGCUGUGUGGGAGAGUAGGACGCCGCCGAAA
Molecule: ribosomal RNA, 91 nt
Filed under: Desulfobacteraceae bacterium
Lineage: Bacteria; Pseudomonadati; Thermodesulfobacteriota; Desulfobacteria; Desulfobacterales; Desulfobacteraceae
Source: RNAcentral